Molecule: ribosomal RNA, 301 nt
Filed under: uncultured bacterium
Lineage: Bacteria
Description: partial 16S ribosomal RNA
Rfam family: Bacterial small subunit ribosomal RNA
Source: RNAcentral
CAGUAGCCGCGGGAAUACAGAGGGUGCGAGCGUUAAUCGGAUUUACUGGGCGUAAAGCGUGCGUAGGCGGCUUUUUAAGUCGGAUGUGAAAUCCCUGAGCUUAACUUAGGAAUUGCAUUCGAUACUGGGAAGCUAAAGUAUGGGAGAGGAUGGUAGAAUUCCAGGUGUAGCGGUGAAAUGCGUAGAGAUCUGGAGGAAUACCGAUGGCGAAGGCAGCCAUCUGGCCUAAUACUGACGCUGAGGUACGAAAGCAUGGGGAGCAAACAGGAUUAGAUACCCGUGUAGUCCCUGUCUCUUAUAC